AGGGAGUAGGUGCUCGGGGGCCUCGGAUAAAGAAUCGUCCUGUGUUUGAAUGCCCCCAUCCUCACAGAAAGGGCUUUGUUUUAGUCCCAGGCAGGGUCUUUUCUGUGCCUUGUCUGGUAUCUAAUUAGAGUCUAUGUAGCUGACAGCUUUAUUUUCUUGGAAGAAGAGCUCCUCAUGAGCCAUCCCAUGACUGAAGAACUGGUAUUAAUCUGGGUAACCAGACUCAGAGUGCUCACGGAAAGGGCAGGGGCUCCUUCUGAACUCUGAGCAGAGACAACAGCUGCCUCAUUCUAGCCGCAUCAUUGAAAGCUGGACCAGUCCUCCCCCAGAUUCCAAAGCCCUCUUGUCCUCUGUCACAUUGUUCUACUGUUACAUCAUCAGCCUGCGGGGGCAGGACAGGUGCUGGAUAGAUCAUGGCCAUCCCUCCAGCUGCCCCGUACACAUCUCAGGCCCUCCCAGAUGGCAUCUGGGAGCUCUAAUCCAGCUGUAGGAUGGUACGUGGCUGGCUUUUCCUGCUUUGGACUGUGACUUUACAGCAAGAUGUCCCCACUCAAAGAUAAGAUGGACUUCCAAAUGAGGUGAAGCAAGAUAUCAUUGAAGUUGGAUGGAUACAAAGCAAGGGCAGAGCAGGGGGAGAACGAGAAGGGGAGAUCACAGCAACCAUCGCAAAGAAUCAGGAUCCUCCAGACAAUAUCUGUCCUUCAACUGGCAUCAGGCUUUCCUCUCACAGUCUGUGGGAAACCCAGGGGUCUGUGCCUAGGGGUGUAUUAAGUUUUGUCUGACUGUCUUUGGACAGACAAGAGGAGGGAGGAAGAUUCUGUGGAAUAGAUAAACUAGAAAAGGUUGGUGAUGGAUUAAAAAUUGGAAUCCAACCCUGUCAAUGUGUUUAUUUGACUUCCACAUUCUCCUCCCCCCUUUAUUCCCAUUCCUCUUUUCCCUUCCCCCAGACUGACAUAAAAUGAUACCCUGAUGGCUAUUUCAGCUGCAACCCUAUAUACCCAGGGAAGCCUGAGCCCCCCAGCUGCUGGCCAGCUCUGAUCCCCUAAUCCCAGAGGGACCAGCUGGUCAGAGUUCUCAGGGACGGCAGACCUCAAGUGCAAAUUUGGCUUCUGCUUCCAACAGACUCUGAUCAUGGCCAGAUUACUGAGCUUCUCUGUGUGCUGGGUCUAUUAUCAGCAUCCUGCUCCCCCGGUACACAUACUACCCCAGAUGAUAGAAAGAAGCAUCCUGAAUUUCUUGAAACACUAUUCUAGAAAUGCACCUUUCCAUUUCCCACUGUAAUUACCACAUCGGAAUUUAGUCCCCAUGCGGGUUAGCUUGAUCUUGGGUGGGCCAGUCCCCUUCACUAUUGGCCUGGGCGGCUGUUUAGUCAUUG
Long non-coding RNA from Neofelis nebulosa (Clouded leopard), 1375 nucleotides. RefSeq lists it as uncharacterized. The record is from RefSeq and is a predicted model, not a curated record. Lineage: Eukaryota; Metazoa; Chordata; Mammalia; Carnivora; Felidae. The transcript is spliced from 3 exons.